UACGUAGGGGGCAAGCGUUGUCCGGAUUUAUUGGGCGUAAAGAGCGUGUAGGCGGCCAUGCAGGUCCGUUGUGAAAACUCGAGGCUCAACCUCGAGACGCCGAUGGAAACCGCAUGGCUAGAGUCCGGAAGAGGAGAGUGGAAUUCCCGGUGUAGCGGUGAAAUGCGCAGAUAUCGGGAAGAACACCCGUGGCGAAGGCGGCUCUCUGGGACGGUACUGACGCUGAGACGCGAAAGCGUGGGGAGCGAACAGG
Molecule: ribosomal RNA, 253 nt
Filed under: uncultured bacterium
Lineage: Bacteria
Description: partial 16S ribosomal RNA
Rfam family: Bacterial small subunit ribosomal RNA
Source: RNAcentral